UAGGGAAUCUUCGGCAAUGGACGAAAGUCUGACCGAGCAACGCCGCGUGAGUGAAGAAGGUUUUCGGAUCGUAAAACUCUGUUGUUAGAGAAGAACAAGGACGUUAGUAACUGAACGUCCCCUGACGGUAUCUAACCAGAAAGCCACGGCUAACUACGUGCCAGCAGCCGCGGUAAUACGUAGGUGGCAAGCGUUGUCCGGAUUUAUUGGGCGUAAAGCGAGCGCAGGCGGUUUCUUAAGUCUGAUGUGAAAGCCCCCGGCUCAACCGGGGAGGGUCAUUGGAAACUGGGAGUCUUGAGUGCAGAAGAGGAGAGUGGAAUUCCAGGUGUAGCGGUGAAAUGCGUAGAUAUGUGGAGGAACACCAGUGGCGAAGGCGGCUCUCUGGUCUGUAACUGACGCUGAGGCUCGAAAGCGUGGGGAGCAAACAGG
This 429-nucleotide ribosomal RNA is filed under the name Gemmatimonadota bacterium. RNAcentral describes it as "Gemmatimonadetes bacterium partial 16S ribosomal RNA". It matches the Rfam family "Bacterial small subunit ribosomal RNA", at positions 355 to 776 of the family's 1533-position model. The record is from RNAcentral. Lineage: Bacteria; Pseudomonadati; Gemmatimonadota.